This 261-nucleotide long non-coding RNA is filed under the name Chinchilla lanigera (long-tailed chinchilla). RNAcentral describes it as "lncRNA (ENSCLAG00000022887.1)". The record is from RNAcentral. Lineage: Eukaryota; Metazoa; Chordata; Mammalia; Rodentia; Chinchillidae.
CUAGCCUUCAUUUAUUGUCCUUUCUUCCCACUGUGGCCAAUCAGCACAAUGAGGAGAUUCACACCUAUCAGACUGCACACAUAAGCUUUGUAUCUGCUUUGGCAAACAACUUCCAUGCGGGUUACCCUCUGGCCUAGAGAUGCACACACUAAUAACAUAGUGCUUGGAAGAACAAACAAGCAAGAGUUGCUUACAGAUACUGAAAGCAAGCUGAGAGAUACUUUGGUUUUCAAUAGAAAUUUUGCAACGUGGAGAGCAUAA